RNAcentral lists this ribosomal RNA (465 nucleotides) under uncultured bacterium. RNAcentral describes it as "partial 16S ribosomal RNA". It matches the Rfam family "Bacterial small subunit ribosomal RNA", at positions 338 to 795 of the family's 1533-position model. The record is from RNAcentral.
CCUACGGGGGGCAGCAGUGGGGAAUAUUGCGCAAUGGGCGAAAGCCUGACGCAGCGACGCCGCGUGAGGGAUGAAGGUCUUCGGAUCGUAAACCUCUGUCAGCAGGGAAGAACGGUCACUGUGCUAAUCAGCAGUGAAUUGACGGUACCUGCAAAGGAAGCACCGGCUAACUCCGUGCCAGCAGCCGCGGUAAUACGGAGGGUGCGAGCGUUAAUCGGAAUUACUGGGCGUAAAGCGAUCGUAGGCGGUAUGUCAAGUCAAGGGUGAAAGCCCCGCGCUCAACGUGGGAACUGCCUUUGAAACUGGCAAACUGGAGUGUGUGAGAGGAUAGUGGAAUUCCAGGUGUAGGAGUGAAAUCCGUAGAUAUCUGGAGGAACAUCAGUGGCGAAGGCGACUAUCUGGCACAUAACUGACGCUGAGGAGCGAAAGCGUGGGUAGCAAACAGGAUUAGAUACCCCAGAAGUC